GAGUGAACGCUGGCGGUAGGCCUAACACAUGCAAGUCGAACGGCAGCACAGUAAGAGCUUGCUCUUACGGGUGGCGAGUGGCGGACGGGUGAGGAAUACAUCGGAAUCUACUUUUUCGUGGGGGAUAACGUAGGGAAACUUACGCUAAUACCGCAUACGACCUACGGGUGAAAGUAGGGGAUCUUCGGACCUUGCGCGAUUGAAUGAGCCGAUGUCGGAUUAGCUAGUUGGCGGGGUAAAGGCCCACCAAGGCGACGAUCCGUAGCUGGUCUGAGAGGAUGAUCAGCCACACUGGAACUGAGACACGGUCCAGACUCCUACGGGAGGCAGCAGUGGGGAAUAUUGGACAAUGGGCGCAAGCCUGAUCCAGCCAUACCGCGUGGGUGAAGAAGGCCUUCGGGUUGUAAAGCCCUUUUGUUGGGAAAGAAAAGCAGCAGGUUAAUACCCCGCUGUUCUGACGGUACCCAAAGAAUAAGCACCGGCUAACUUCGU
This 492-nucleotide ribosomal RNA is filed under the name uncultured bacterium. RNAcentral's name for it is "partial 16S ribosomal RNA". It matches the Rfam family "Bacterial small subunit ribosomal RNA", at positions 27 to 506 of the family's 1533-position model. The record is from RNAcentral.